This 368-nucleotide ribosomal RNA is filed under the name uncultured bacterium. RNAcentral's name for it is "bacterial SSU rRNA". It matches the Rfam family "Bacterial small subunit ribosomal RNA", at positions 28 to 402 of the family's 1533-position model. The record is from RNAcentral.
GAUGAACGCUAGCGGCAGGCCUAACACAUGCAAGUCGAGGGGUAAGAUAGCAAUAUCUGAGACCGGCGCACGGGUGCGUAACGCGUAUGCAAUCUACCUUUUACAGGGGAAUAGCCCAGAGAAAUUUGGAUUAAUGCCCCAUGGUAUUAUAGGAUGGCAUCAUUUUAUAAUUAAAGUUCCAACGGUAAAGAUGAGCAUGCGUCCCAUUAGUUAGUUGGUAAGGUAACGGCUUACCAAGACGAUGAUGGGUAGGGGUCCUGAGAGGGAGAUCCCCCACACUGGUACUGAGACACGGACCAGACUCCUACGGGAGGCAGCAGUGAGGAAUAUUGGACAAUGGGCGCAAGCCUGAUCCAGCCAUGCCGCGU